Molecule: ribosomal RNA, 71 nt
Filed under: Pocillopora sp. PG-2017
Lineage: Eukaryota; Metazoa; Cnidaria; Anthozoa; Scleractinia; Pocilloporidae
Description: partial 5.8S ribosomal RNA
Rfam family: 5.8S ribosomal RNA
About the family: 5.8S ribosomal RNA (5.8S rRNA) is a component of the large subunit of the eukaryotic ribosome. It is transcribed by RNA polymerase I as part of the 45S precursor that also contains 18S and 28S rRNA.
Source: RNAcentral
GUGAAUCAUUGAAUCUUUGAACGCAAAUGGCGCUCUUGGGUUCUCCCAGGAGCAUGUCUGUGUGAGUGUCU